Molecule: long non-coding RNA, 741 nt
Organism: Capsicum annuum
Lineage: Eukaryota; Viridiplantae; Streptophyta; Magnoliopsida; Solanales; Solanaceae
Exons: 3
Source: RefSeq, a predicted model, not a curated record
AAUUGUCUUGUAUUUUGUUAGAUAUGUAGGAUAAUUAGAUGCAAGUAGACCAUUUCAUAUUCUUGAUGAAACAAUGAUGUCUAGUGUAUUUGAUAUGAUAAACUAGAAAAAAAAUAAAAAAUACUACAUAACCAACUGUAAAAGGUUAGACAGACCAAUAAUGUAAAAAAAUUUACAUUAUAAGCCUUCCCUAGAUGCAACCUUUGCUAGACUCCAGUUUAUUGAGGUCCAUAAGUGCAUGCAUUAGAUCUUUAACAACCCACUUCUGCAAUCUUUUUGGGCAAAACUAAUCCACACAGGGGAUCGAUCUGAAAAAGUUCAAAGGCUAUGCCAAAAAAGCAGUCAACACAACACUAACAUGGGAAGUACACCAUAAAGAUAAUGUUGACGUGAUUGGGCUGUUCUACCCUUAACCAGGUUCGACCCUGUGCAUGGAGAAACACUCUGUUGGGAGCGCUAUCCCCCGAAUGGGGCCUUAUCCGACGCGAAUCCAAAUUAAUCGGGCUCCAAUACAGGUGGAACUUCAAAUGGAUGCCUAACAGGUGGCUGAUUCCUUUGACUGAAAAUUGUGAUGAAGAAAAAAGGACAACUUUUGGAGUAUUGGAUAUUUGUAUUGUACUAUAUGGUGACUUUAAAUAUAAUUUUUUAAUUAUUAUUCAAAAUUUAUUGUAUCAGAUUGUUAAGUUUCAUUCUUAUAUAACGAUGAAAUUUACUAUUUUAUGUAAAAACUAAUUUGGUAGU